Molecule: ribosomal RNA, 357 nt
Filed under: uncultured bacterium
Lineage: Bacteria
Description: bacterial SSU rRNA
Rfam family: Bacterial small subunit ribosomal RNA
Source: RNAcentral
AGAGUUUGAUCCUGGCUCAGGAUGAACGCUAGCUACAGGCUUAACACAUGCAAGUCGNGGGGAAACGACAUCGAAAGCUUGCUUUUGAUGGGCGUCGACCGGCGCACGGGUGAGUAACGCGUAUCCAACCUGCCCACCACUUGGGGAGUAACCUUGCGAAAGUAAGACUAAUACCCAAUGAUAUCUCUAGAAGACAUCUGAAAGAGAUUAAAGAUUUAUCGGUGAUGGAUGGGGAUGCGUCUGAUUAGCUUGUUGGCGGGGUAACGGCCCACCAAGGCGACGAUCAGUAGGGGUUCUGAGAGGAAGGUCCCCCACAUUGGAACUGAGACACGGUCCAAACUCCUACGGGAGGCAGCA